Phalacrocorax carbo (great cormorant) is the source of this 494-nucleotide non-coding RNA. The record is from RefSeq and is a predicted model, not a curated record. Lineage: Eukaryota; Metazoa; Chordata; Aves; Suliformes; Phalacrocoracidae.
AGAAGCACUUUGAUAGUGACUGGUUUAAGAAAUUGAAAGCCUACAUAAACCUUUCCUUAAUAUUGUGGAUUGUAGAAGAACAGAGCCUGAAUUCCAGCGCCACAGCUGGUCUGAAUCUCCAUCCAGGCUGACCAGGCUGGAAAGCCCUGCUGUGGAACUGACCCAGCCACACUGCAUGGCUCCAAAGCAUGUGCCAGGAAUAAGCACAGCCAUACUGAAGAGUGAGGGGUUUGGAACACAAAUAAGGCUUGUGAGUUGUUAGACUGAACAUCUGGGACCUUCAGAAUAACUGUAUUGAAGGAUCCAGCAAAAGUCACACAGGCAAACCGGCAUCUGUAUCACAACCAGCGUGUCACCAUCAAUUUUCAUGACAUACUUGAACAGACACACUGAAAAGAUUCUCUGCUGCAGAAUUUGUUUGCUAAUUCAGAGUAUUUUAUAGUAACAGAUAAAGAGGUUCUAUUAGAUUACCCCCAUUCAAAAAAUAUGUACUA